Molecule: unclassified non-coding RNA, 37 nt
Filed under: Casearia sylvestris
Lineage: Eukaryota; Viridiplantae; Streptophyta; Magnoliopsida; Malpighiales; Salicaceae
Description: ITS2
Source: RNAcentral
GGACCCCAGGUCGGGCGGGACCACCCGCUGAGUUUAA